ACGUACACUCCUGCGGGAGGCAGCAGUGGGGAAUAUUGCACAAUGGGCGCAAGCCUGAUGCAGCCAUGCCGCGUGUGUGAAGAAGGCCUUCGGGUUGUAAAGCACUUUCAGCGGGGAGGAAGGCGAUACGGUUAAUAACCGUGUUGAUUGACGUUACCCGCAGAAGAAGCACCGGCUAACUCCGUGCCAGCAGCCGCGGUAAUACGGAGGGUGCAAGCGUUAAUCGGAAUUACUGGGCGUAAAGCGCACGCAGGCGGUCUGUCAAGUCGGAUGUGAAAUCCCCGGGCUCAACCUGGGAACUGCAUUCGAAACUGGCAGGCUUGAGUCUUGUAGAGGGGGGUAGAAUUCCAGGUGUAGCGGUGAAAUGCGUAGAGAUCUGGAGGAAUACCGGUGGCGAAGGCGGCCCCCUGGACAAAGACUGACGCUCAGGUGCGAAAGCGUGGGGAGCAAACAGGAUUAGAUACCCCAGUAGUCCCAUGA
This 480-nucleotide ribosomal RNA is filed under the name uncultured organism. RNAcentral's name for it is "partial 16S ribosomal RNA". It matches the Rfam family "Bacterial small subunit ribosomal RNA", at positions 329 to 800 of the family's 1533-position model. The record is from RNAcentral.